Molecule: ribosomal RNA, 497 nt
Filed under: uncultured bacterium
Lineage: Bacteria
Description: partial 16S ribosomal RNA
Rfam family: Bacterial small subunit ribosomal RNA
Source: RNAcentral
GACGAACGCUGGCGGCGUGCCUAAUACAUGCAAGUUGAGCGCUGAAGGUUGGUACUUGUACCGACUGGAUGAGCAGCGAACGGGUGAGUAACGCGUGGGGAAUCUGCCUUUGAGCGGGGGACAACAUUUGGAAACGAAUGCUAAUACCGCAUAAAAACUUUAAACACAAGUUUUAAGUUUGAAAGAUGCAAUUGCAUCACUCAAAGAUGAUCCCGCGUUGUAUUAGCUAGUUGGUGAGGUAAAGGCUCACCAAGGCGAUGAUACAUAGCCGACCUGAGAGGGUGAUCGGCCACAUUGGGACUGAGACACGGCCCAAACUCCUACGGGAGGCAGCAGUAGGGAAUCUUAGGCAAUGGACGAAAGUCUGACCGAGCAACGCCGCGUGAGUGAAGAAGGUUUUCGGAUCGUAAAACUCUGUUGGUAGAGAAGAACGUUGGUGAGAGUGGAAAGCUCAUCAAGUGACGGUAACUACCCAGAAAGGGACGGCUAACUACGUG